RNAcentral lists this ribosomal RNA (165 nucleotides) under uncultured bacterium. Its description in RNAcentral is "partial 16S rRNA". It matches the Rfam family "Bacterial small subunit ribosomal RNA", at positions 355 to 511 of the family's 1533-position model. The record is from RNAcentral.
UAGGGAAUCUUCGGCAAUGGACGAAAGUCUGACCGAGCAACGCCGCGUGAGUGAAGAAGGUUUUCGGAUCGUAAAACUCUGUUGUUAGAGAAGAACAAGGAUGAGAAGAGAAUGUUCAUCCCUUGACGGUAUCUAACCAGAAAGUCACGGCUAACUACGUGCCAG